GACGAACGCUGGCGGCGUGCUUAACACAUGCAAGUCGAACGGAAAGGCCCUGCUUUUGUGGGGUGCUCGAGUGGCGAACGGGUGAGUAACACGUGAGUAACCUGCCCUUGACUUUGGUAUAACUUCAGGAAACUUGGUCUAAUACCCGAUAGGAGCUCCUGCUGCAUGGUGGGGGUUGGAAAGUUUCGGCGGUUGGGGAUGGACUCGCGGCUUAUCAGCUUGUUGGUGGGGUAGUGGCUUACCAAGGCUUUGACGGGUAGCCGGCCUGAGAGGGUGACCGGCCACAUGGGGACUGAGGUACGGCCCAGACGCCUACGGGAGGCAGCAGUGGGGAAUAUUGCACAAUGGGCGGAAGCCUGAUGCAGAAACGCCGCGUGCGGGAUGAGGGCCUUCGGGUUGUAAACCGCUUUCGCCUGUGACGAAGCGUGAGUGACGGUAAUGGGUAAAGAAGCACCGGCUAACUACGUG
Molecule: ribosomal RNA, 468 nt
Filed under: uncultured bacterium
Lineage: Bacteria
Description: partial 16S ribosomal RNA
Rfam family: Bacterial small subunit ribosomal RNA
Source: RNAcentral